Molecule: ribosomal RNA, 321 nt
Filed under: Triticum aestivum (bread wheat)
Lineage: Eukaryota; Viridiplantae; Streptophyta; Magnoliopsida; Poales; Poaceae
Description: partial small subunit ribosomal RNA
Source: RNAcentral
AUGUAUCCCCAACCCCUCGGGUUGGUAUGGCAUUGUGUGAGAAAUAAACCAACGAAAAUUGUCCCAACUCUCCUAGUGUCAUCCACAACUAUCAAUGCUCAGGCUGAAAGGUCUAACACACCGCUCAUCUCCAUCGACUACUCAUCGUUGCCAAGGACGGUCACUUCGACGACAUCUUUGUCAUACCUUGCAAUUGCAUUGAUACCCACAUGGCCUUACUUUUGCGUAGCUUACCCAUCGAGACUAGCCAUUGAGUAUUGCCGGCAACGUGACUUGUGCAUAUUAGUGAUCAUACUCCAGAGCAUACAUACCAUACCAUAG